UGAAACAUGAUUUUAGAUGUAAGGGAGUCCCUAGUGAGGAGCUGUCUGGCAGUGGAUUGGGGAUUUUCACAUAUUUGUUUUGCACCAAUAAAAUGUCUGGAACCUGGCAUCAAAGAUGCAAUGCUGUUCUCUGGGAAGGGAGAAUGCUCAGCUCCAGCAUGUGCACCAAAGUUGGCGAUGUCCCCCGCAGACCCAGGGGAAGCAAUAUGUGACUUGCUCCCGUUUCAAGAUGCAUUUGCCCCUGGUCCUUCAGAAUCGAUUCGCUGUACCAUGACGGGCAGUGGUCAGCAGAAGCUCAGGGCUCCAGGGAUGACACAGAAGGCUGAAAAUUCUCAUUCUCCUGCCAAGUUCUUAUUUACCACUGAAGUAAUCUGGAGAAAAUAGCUUGAGACUUUGUGUUGUUUCUCCCUCUGGAUUCAAGUUGGAGAAAACAAUGCUAAUUACAUUUCUAACAGCAGUGAAUACAUUUGAAAGUCAAGCUCUUUUGCUAUGUCAAGGAAGUUUUUGUCAUAAUUAAGGAGUGUGCCACACACUAGUCAUACAUAAGAUUUGGAUCUGUACUAAUUCGGGUGAGAGGGGGACCGAGGUGUCAGUAUAGUUUAAAAAGCUCCCCGGGUGACUCUGGUCUGCAGCUGGGGUUGAGAACUGCUCGUGGAGGGGAAAGGGCACGGGCUGUGGAGUUAGACAGACUUUGGUUCAAACCCUGGGUCUGCAUUUUCUAGUUGUGUGACUUAAGGUGGAUUUAUUAAUGAUUUAAAGCCUCAAUUUUCUCCUUUGUCGAGGAAGAUGAAGUAGAGCUUAGUGGGUUUGCAUUGAAGAUUAAAUGAGAUAACUAACAGGUAAAAUAUGAAAUUGCCUGGCACAGAAUAUCUUAUAAAUAUGUGUGCUCUUUCUCCCUUUAAGAUGUAAUCGUUUUGAACAGAUUCCAGUGAUAAUCCUUUACAGAAAAGGGGGCAAGCCCCAUUGACCUUCUGUCGAGAAUGGAAGUAAGAGCACAUUGGUAUUGAUCUGGGUAGAUGAAGGAUGAGGUCAAAUCUCAUUUUACUCUGUGAUGGAUAAUCAUAUAAGGGUUGCAAAUCACAGGUCUCUCAGAAUAUUCUAUUGUUGUUUCAAUUAAAUUUUGCAGUACCA
Molecule: long non-coding RNA, 1131 nt
Filed under: Zalophus californianus (California sea lion)
Lineage: Eukaryota; Metazoa; Chordata; Mammalia; Carnivora; Otariidae
Description: lncRNA (ENSZCAG00015012165.1)
Source: RNAcentral